Molecule: transfer RNA, 74 nt
Filed under: Mus caroli (Ryukyu mouse)
Lineage: Eukaryota; Metazoa; Chordata; Mammalia; Rodentia; Muridae
Description: tRNA-Ile (AAT) (tRNA-Ile-AAT-3-1)
Rfam family: tRNA
About the family: Transfer RNA (tRNA) molecules are approximately 80 nucleotides in length. Their secondary structure includes four short double-helical elements and three loops (D, anti-codon, and T loops).
Source: RNAcentral
GUUUUUGUAGUGUAGUGGUCAUCACGCUUGCCUAAUAUGUGUAGAGGUCCCCGGUUCGAAACCGGGCGAAAAUG